UCCAACAGGAAGAAACCCAAAAGGGAGUGGGAAGGAACCUAACCUUCAUAGUCAACAACACAUAUGACCCAACAACUAACCCUGCUGAAGCAAGAAGGUUAAGAUACAAGGAGUGGUAAACUCAGAGUCAUUGAACAAAGAGAUUUAGAUGGUUCAAAGAAGUUUAAUCUAAGAAGGGAUAGAAUAAACCAUAACAUCAAAAUAAAAAUGUAGGAACAAACGUGGAUGAGAGAGAGAAAGAACUCAUCCUAUUCCCCAUCACCAAACUCUUCGUCGGGAUUCUUCCUUUGCUUUUCAGAUUUUCAUACAUCAUGCCUAGGUAAACAGUAAACCCAACAUUGAGAUCAAAUCAUCAAAGAACCAAAAAAUAGGGGGAAGAAGAUGGCGAGACGCAGAUGUGCAACCUAGAUUGGGGACGAUGACGAGGGCC
Molecule: long non-coding RNA, 430 nt
Filed under: Triticum aestivum (bread wheat)
Lineage: Eukaryota; Viridiplantae; Streptophyta; Magnoliopsida; Poales; Poaceae
Description: long non-coding RNA (TAES_LNC023860)
Source: RNAcentral